RNAcentral lists this ribosomal RNA (253 nucleotides) under uncultured bacterium. RNAcentral describes it as "partial 16S ribosomal RNA". It matches the Rfam family "Bacterial small subunit ribosomal RNA", at positions 524 to 776 of the family's 1533-position model. The record is from RNAcentral.
UACGGGGGGGGCAAGCGUUGUUCGGAAUUACUGGGCGUAAAGGGCUCGUAGGUGGCCAACUAAGUCAGACGUGAAAUCCCAGAGCUCAACUCUGGAACUGCCUUUGAUACUGUCGAUCUAGAGUAUGGAAGAGGUGAGUGGAAUUCCGAGUGUAGAGGUGAAAUUCGUAGAUAUCCGGAGGAACACCAGUGGCGAAGGCGGCUCACUGGUCCAUUACUGACGCUGAGGUGCGAAAGCGUGGGGAGCAAACAGG